This 283-nucleotide long non-coding RNA is filed under the name Mus caroli (Ryukyu mouse). Its description in RNAcentral is "lncRNA (MGP_CAROLIEiJ_G0005063.1)". Lineage: Eukaryota; Metazoa; Chordata; Mammalia; Rodentia; Muridae. The record is from RNAcentral.
UUUCUCUAACAUAUGUGUGGAAGGCCUAGUUCAGUUCCAUGAAGGGUCCCUGGUUGGCAGUUCAGUCUCUAGAAUUUCCUUUAAUUUUUGUUCCAAAGGCAGUGUCCAUGAUAGCAGGAGAAGCACAGCAGCAGGAACCGGAAGCUAAGAGAUGACCUCUCCAUUGUGCACAGGAAGCAGGGAGAGUGAGAAGGAAGUGGCACAGGCAACAAAUUCUCUAAGGACAUUUCCCUACUAUGAUACUCCCGCAAAGCUCCAUGUAAUAAAAUUCCAUAACCUUCCC